CGACCCUCAAGCAUAGCUUGGUGUUGGGCACGGUCCUAGGUAGGGGACCUGCCCGUAACUCGUAGGCGGCCGCCGCCCGCGCCCCCAGCGUAGCAAGCUCACGCGUUCGCUCGGGGACGGCGCGCCUGGCCCGCCAGGCACAACCCAAACCCUUCCCAAG
This 160-nucleotide unclassified non-coding RNA is filed under the name uncultured Venturiales. RNAcentral's name for it is "sequence contains ITS2". The record is from RNAcentral. Lineage: Eukaryota; Fungi; Ascomycota; Dothideomycetes.